RNAcentral lists this ribosomal RNA (137 nucleotides) under uncultured bacterium. RNAcentral describes it as "partial 16S rRNA". It matches the Rfam family "Bacterial small subunit ribosomal RNA", at positions 355 to 507 of the family's 1533-position model. The record is from RNAcentral.
GUAAGAAUCUUGCGCAAUGGGCGAAAGCCUGACGCAGCAAUUCCGCGUGGGGGACGAAGGCCCUCGGGUCGUAAACCCCUUUUACGAGGGAAGAAGUUCUGACGGUACCUCGUGAAUAAGACACGGCUAACUACGUG